RNAcentral lists this ribosomal RNA (787 nucleotides) under uncultured Lactobacillus sp. RNAcentral describes it as "bacterial SSU rRNA". It matches the Rfam family "Bacterial small subunit ribosomal RNA", at positions 28 to 776 of the family's 1533-position model. Lineage: Bacteria; Bacillati; Bacillota; Bacilli; Lactobacillales; Lactobacillaceae. The record is from RNAcentral.
GACGAACGCUGGCGGCGUGCCUAAUACAUGCAAGUCGAGCGAGCUUGCCUAGAUGAAUUUGGUGCUUGCACCAAAUGAAACUAGAUACAAGCGAGCGGCGGACGGGUGAGUAACACGUGGGUAACCUGCCCAAGAGACUGGGAUAACACCUGGAAACAGAUGCUAAUACCGGAUAACAACACUAGACGCAUGUCUAGAGUUUAAAAGAUGGUUCUGCUAUCACUCUUGGAUGGACCUGCGGUGCAUUAGCUAGUUGGUAAGGUAACGGCUUACCAAGGCAAUGAUGCAUAGCCGAGUUGAGAGACUGAUCGGCCACAUUGGGACUGAGACACGGCCCAAACUCCUACGGGAGGCAGCAGUAGGGAAUCUUCCACAAUGGACGCAAGUCUGAUGGAGCAACGCCGCGUGAGUGAAGAAGGGUUUCGGCUCGUAAAGCUCUGUUGGUAGUGAAGAAAGAUAGAGGUAGUAACUGGCCUUUAUUUGACGGUAAUUACUUAGAAAGUCACGGCUAACUACGUGCCAGCAGCCGCGGUAAUACGUAGGUGGCAAGCGUUGUCCGGAUUUAUUGGGCGUAAAGCGAGUGCAGGCGGUUCAAUAAGUCUGAUGUGAAAGCCUUCGGCUCAACCGGAGAAUUGCAUCAGAAACUGUUGAACUUGAGUGCAGAAGAGGAGAGUGGAACUCCAUGUGUAGCGGUGGAAUGCGUAGAUAUAUGGAAGAACACCAGUGGCGAAGCGGCUCUCUGGUCUGCAACUGACGCUGAGGCUCGAAAGCAUGGGUAGCGAACAGG